RNAcentral lists this unclassified non-coding RNA (1265 nucleotides) under Leishmania donovani. RNAcentral's name for it is "gene:LdHU3.28.0470(CDS-product:hypothetical_prote in_conserved)". The record is from RNAcentral. Lineage: Eukaryota; Euglenozoa; Kinetoplastea; Trypanosomatida; Trypanosomatidae.
GAAGGGCGAACAAACACUUUUCAUGGCCACCUGUCUUGGCGUCACGAUGCGCGCAGUGAUCUCCGCCCUGCUGCUUUGCGGCCUUGUAGCCGAGGUGACCUUCGCCGACCCCGUCCGCAGCACCGAGUAUGCCGGCCGCGUGGCGGCCGUCACCUGCUGUGAGCGUGUCGAAACCGCAUGGCCCAUCCUGCGGUCUUGGAGCCGCACCUGUGCCAAUGAAAGGGCACGCGGUUACGCCACGGUAAAGCGGUUUGCCACAAUGCUGGCCGCCUAUUCGCGUUCAUCUGCGCCCGCGCUUACCUUAUCGCAAGUUUGCCGCGGUAAGUACCUGAGCCGUGAGGCCGUGCAGGCGUUCUUUGAGCAUGCGUUCUGCGGUGCUCUGCCGAUAACACACACCGACCUCGUCCACAGCGCCUACAGCCCACUCAUGGAGGAUGCCCCGCACGAUGAGGAUGCGCUGGCGUCGGAUGUUGCCGUGGAGUGUCAACGCUUGCAACAGAGGUGGACGAUGCAAGCGGAGCAGUGGGAGGAACUGCUAGGCGGCAGACACGAUCUCGCGGAUGCCCAGUACGGCCUCUGUCCGCGUUCGUGCACAUGGGUGAAGGACAUGUUGGCAGGCGACGCUUACGACUUGUGAAGGAAAAACGUCUCGCAACGCUCCUCUUUUUUCUUGUUCAUCGUCCGCCCUCAUGACGUGCGGGGGUGGGGAGGGCCACUUCAGCGUGGCAUCUCAGGACACAGGGGGGGGGGGCGCUCGCUCUCUCUCUCUGUGUGCGGAGGAGCGAAGCAGCCCCCCACCGCCCACCCUCUUCGCUAUCCCUGCCAAUGCGAGGCCACUUCUGGUGGUGGCAAGCUCAAACGCGCCCUCAUGAUGUGUCGGAGGCGCCAGAGCGAUGCGUCGCUGCUGACGCCGGCGGCCAGGUCCCGGAGUGGGGCGGUGUCGGUGCGACCUGCGACCGUGAACACGUCUGUGCCGCCCACAUCGAUGGGCAAAGCGCCAGCGGGAGUCGAGCGAAUCCCACCCAACCCUCACACCGCCCACUGCGGGGGGGGGCCGGGGUGUCGCCCCGCGAGGGGUGCACCGCAGGGGUGGCGGCCGGCAUAACGGGCCGGCUGUGAGGCGGCCUGCACAGCGGCGGGUGCCGGGUGGAGAGAAGCUUGGCUCAUGUCGUGCGGCAGAGAGCGGACACGUACAGGACGAAAAACUUUGUCGGCUGCUCAUUAGCCCGAAGUGUGUGGACGUGAGGAGGAGACGCAGCAAGACG